RNAcentral lists this ribosomal RNA (301 nucleotides) under uncultured bacterium. RNAcentral describes it as "partial 16S ribosomal RNA". It matches the Rfam family "Bacterial small subunit ribosomal RNA", at positions 509 to 807 of the family's 1533-position model. The record is from RNAcentral.
CAGCAGCCGCGGGAAUACGAAGGGUGCAAGCGUUAAUCGGAAUUACUGGGCGUAAAGCGUGCGUAGGCGGUGAGUUAAGUCUGCUGUGAAAUCCCCGGGCUCAACCUGGGAAUGGCAGUGGAUACUGGCUCGCUAGAGUGUGUCAGAGGAUGGUGGAAUUCCCGGUGUAGCGGUGAAAUGCGUAGAGAUCGGAAGGAACAUCUGUGGCGAAGGCGACUAUCUGGGCCAACACUGACACUGAGGCACGAAAGCGUGGGGAGCAAACAGGAUUAGAUACCCCUGUAGUCCCUGUCUCUUAUAC